RNAcentral lists this ribosomal RNA (1004 nucleotides) under Hoploplana ornata. RNAcentral's name for it is "partial 28S ribosomal RNA". It matches the Rfam family "Eukaryotic large subunit ribosomal RNA", at positions 68 to 885 of the family's 3401-position model. Lineage: Eukaryota; Metazoa; Platyhelminthes; Polycladida; Hoploplanidae. The record is from RNAcentral.
ACAAGGAUUCCUCUAGUAACGGCGAGCGAACGAGGAAUAGCCCAGCACCGAAUCCUGUUCCGUCAUGGUACCAGGAAAUGUGGUGUUUAGGCCGUGCUUUGUGCCGGUACGACUCUCCUCAAGUCCACUUGAUUGUGGCUUCAGGCCCAGAGAGGGUGUAAGGCCCGUGGAGGCGAGUUGUCCGGUGCCCGGCACGUCCUUAGAGUCGGGUUGUUUGGGAAUGCAGCCCUAAGCGGGUGGUAAACUCCAUCCAAGGCUAAAUACUAGCACGAGUCCGAUAGCGAAGAAGUACCGCGAGGGAAAGUUGAAAAGAACUUUGAAGAGAGAGUUCAAGAGUACGUGAAACCGCUGAGAGGCAAACUGGUGGAGCUGAAAUGGCUUUGAGGAAUUCAGCCCUUGGCUUGGGAGAUGAUGUAGGUUUUGAGAUCUCACGACUCUGCUUGCGUUACUCUUCUCGAGCGAGAGGUGCACUUUCCUCUUAACCGGACCACGACCAGCGAACGUCUUGUCUGACAUUGGUGGAAGGUAGCGACUGCUUCGGCAGUCGUGUUAUAGCCGCCAGUUCGGAGCGAGUAGAGCGUUGGAUUACUCGGUGCCUGCCCUUCGGGCUCGUACGGUGUUUCUUUCUGGGCUGGCAUUGGUUUCACUGCUUCGGCAGGGGUAUUGGUGACGGUUUGGUUAGAAAUGUCCUCUGCGAUUGGCAUCUACAGUCAGUGGUUUCGAAGUAGGCAGUCCACCUGACCCGUCUUGAAACACGGACCAAGGAGUCUAACAUGUGCGCGAGUCAUUGGGCUCUACGAAACCUAAAGGCGAAGUGAAAGUGAAGAUCCUUUUUGGAGGGUUGAGGUAGGAUCCUGUACUACGCGUAUAGGCGCACUACCGGCCCGUCCGACAUGUUUUCAUACGGGCGGAGCAAGAGCGUACACGUUGGGACCCGAAAGAUGGUGAACUAUGCUUGCGCAGGUCGAAGCCAGAGGAAACUCUGGUGGAGGACCGUAGCGAUU